CACCGGCCGGAGUCAAAUUGACCGAGACUCCACUGAGCAUCUGGACUACAUUUCCCAGAAAUCCCCUGAUUCGCCAGCCGGAGCCAAGCUGACCGCUACUCCACUGAGCGUCUGGACUACCAUUCCCAGAAUUGCUUGUAUCCUCCUCCUGGAGCCAGUGUGUACGACUCCACAGAGCAUUUGGAUUACACUCCUCCGAAUGCUGAAGGAAAAACGCUCAAAAUCUCAUUCUUCAGGGGGAAGCGUUGCCACUCCGGGGUGCCCACUGGGAACGAAUCCCAAAGCCAUGAGCGCCUGCCUAGUGGGGAAUGUGAACUGUUAUCCUGAGAGUCGUCCUUCUCUCUCCCUGGUUCAGGACAGAAAAUACUGAAUAGACAGGAAUUUCUGAAGUCUAAACGCCUCCAAUGAUAACAGGAGUGUUAUUGGAAAGGGAACAAGCGAGAAGACACAGUCUUCGAGGAGUUAAGUUUUGCUAAUCUAAUGAUGAGACUGCAUUCAUGAAGACUGAGUGAAGACUUUAUUGCACCAUCACAUCACUAAAGUUUUCCUCCAACAUGAACAUUCUGAUGAAGUUGAAGGCUUGAGGCCUGACUAAAGCACAUAUCACACUCCCUACACUUCCAUGUUUUCUCUCCCAUGUGGACCCUCUGAUGCAUAUCAAGAUUCAAGCGCCUGUUGUAGCCCUUCCCACAGUCCUCACAUUUGUAUGGCUUUUCUACACUGUGAACUUUUUCUUGCACUUUAGAGAAUGAAUUCUGUACAAUGUUCUUCCCAUGCUGCUCACAUUUGAGAGGUGUUUCUCUGCUGUGGCGUCUCUGAUGGGUCAGACGAGUUGAGGACCAGCUGAAGCCCUUCCCACACUCAUCACAUUUGUAUGGCUUUUCUCCAGUGUGCACUCUUUGAUGAGAAUGAAGCUGUGAAUUCUGAGUAAAUCUUUUCCCACACUCUUCACAUUUGAAUGGUUUUUCUCCACUGUGCAGUCUCUGAUGUUUCAAAAGACACGAGGCCCAGCCAAAACUCUUCCCACAUUCCUUACAAUUGUAUGGUCUCUCUCCUGUGUGGACCUUCUGGUGCAUAUCAAGAUUAAACUUACUAUUGUAGCCCUUUCCACACUUCUCACAUUUGUAUGGCUUUUCUCCAGUGUGAACUCUCUGAUGGGAAUGAAGAUGUGAAUUUUGAGUAAACCUCUUCCCACACUCUUCACAUUGGAAUGGUUUUUCUCCACUGUGGAGUCUCUCAUGUUUCAAAAGACAUGGGGCCCGACUAAAGCUCUUCCCACAUUCCUUACAAUUAUACAGUUUCUCUCCUGUAUGGACGCGCUGGUGAAAGUCAAGAUCCAACCUCCUUUUGUAGCCCUUCCCACACUCCACACACUUGUAUGGUUUUUCUCCACUAUGGGAUCUCUGGUGGGAAUAGCAUUGUGAAUUUGUGUAAAAUCCUUUCCCACAUUCUUCACAUUUGAAUGGUUUUUCUCCACUGUGGACUCGCUGAUGUUUCAAAAGACACGAGGCCCAUCUGAAGCUCUUCCCACACUCUUUACAAUUAUAUGGCUUCUCUCCCGUGUGGACCAUAUGAUGCGUAUAAAGAUCUCGCCUACAAAUAAAGCCUUUUCCACACUCCUCACAUUUGUAUGGUUUCUCUCCUGUGUGGAUCAUGCGAUGACUAUUAAGUGCUGAUCUCUGACGAAAGCUCUUACCACACGUAUCACAUCGGAAUGGUUUCUCUGCCGUGUGAACCAUGGAAUGCCUAUUAAGUCUGGAUCUACCACAGAAGCUCUUACCACAUAUAUCACAUUUGAAUGGCUUCUCCCCCGUAUGGAUUCUCUGAUGUUCUUGAAGCUGGGAAUCGUGAAUGAAGGCCUUCCCGCAUUCCUCACAAUUAUAAGGUUUCUCUCCUGUGUGUAAUUUAUGAUGAACAUUAAGUGCUGAUCUACGACUGAAGCCUUUCCCACAUUCCACACAUUUGAACGGUUUCUCUCCAGUGUGGACUCUCUGAUGAGUUUGCAGAUGUGAACUCUGACUGAAUUCCUUACCACACACAUCACACUUAUAGCAUUUCUCUCCCAUGUGGACUCUCUGAUGAAUACGAAGGGCUGAGAUGUAACAAAAGUUUUUUCCACACUCAUCACACGUAUGAGACUUCUCUCCUGAGUGUAAUUGUUGAUGAAAAUCAAAGAGGGAGACAUCACUGAAGGACAGUUUAUAUCCAUUGCCCUGGGAAGAUUUCUGUCUUGCGUGAAUUACAGACAGUCCUGCCUCAGUCUGGCAGGGGAAAUCACCUUCUUUGGAGAACUGAGAGCUAUUUAUCACCAAGUCUUGAGACCUGGUUAAAUCACUUGCAAUUUUUUCCCAGAUUUGCUGGAAGGACCAUUCUUGAUGUGUUCCUGCUUCUGAAACAGUCUCCAUCUCAGUUUGGAUCUUGUCUCCUAUCAGAAUACAGAAUUAAAAGAUGAGGACAAGUGAAGCCUUUGUUCAGUGUUAUCAAGAUUUCACUUAGGCCACGGCAUGAAACUCUCAUGAGUAUAGACAACAUUCAGUUUGUAUUUUUCAAGUGCACCAUAAUCUUUGGUUUGGAUGAGGCCAAUUUCGAACUAAACCAAGUAUCAUAUGUAAAAUACUUGAUAGAAAUAAAAGACGAAAAACAAUAGAUGUUGACAUUGGUGUGGUGAAAAGAAACGCUUAUACACUGCUGGUGUGGAUGUAAAUUAGUACAACCUCUAUGAAAUACAGUAUGGAGAUACUCUAAAGAACUAAAAGUGGAUCUACCAUUUGAUCCAGCAAUCCCACUACUGUCUACCCAAAGGAAAAGAAAUCCUUACAUCAAAAGGACACCUGCAUGCCUAUAUUUAUUACAGCACAAUUCACAAUUUCAAAGAUAUGGAACCAACCUAAGUGCCCAUCAACCAAUGAGUGGAUAAAGAAAAUAUGGUAUAUAUUCACCAUGGAAUACUAUUCAGCCAUAAAAAAUGAAAUAAUGUCUUUUGCAGCAACUUGGAUGGAGCUGGAGGCUAUUAUUCUAAGUGAAGUAACUCAGGAAUGGAAAACCAAAUACCGUGUUUUCACUUAUAAGUGGGAGUUAAGCUAUGGGUAUGCAAAGGCAUACAGAGUGAUAUAAUGGACUAUGGAGACUCAAAAUGGGGAGGGUGGAAGGUAGGGUAAGGGAUAAAAAGCUACAAGUUGGGUACAAUGUACACUACUCAGGUGAUGGGUACACUAAAAUCUCAGACUUCACCAUUAGACAAUUCAUCCAUGUAACCAAAAACCAGUAUAUACUUUAAUAAAAUAAAAAAAGACUACUGAAAUAAAAUUUUUAAUAAAAUAAAAAUAAAAGACAAUAAUAAAA
Long non-coding RNA from Gorilla gorilla gorilla (western lowland gorilla), 3342 nucleotides. RefSeq lists it as uncharacterized. The record is from RefSeq and is a predicted model, not a curated record. The transcript is spliced from 2 exons. NCBI's taxonomy places the organism in Eukaryota, Metazoa, Chordata, Mammalia, Primates, Hominidae.